Molecule: ribosomal RNA, 426 nt
Filed under: uncultured bacterium
Lineage: Bacteria
Description: bacterial SSU rRNA
Rfam family: Bacterial small subunit ribosomal RNA
Source: RNAcentral
UGGGGAAUUUUGGACAAUGGGCGCAAGCCUGAUCCAGCCAUGCCGCGUGCAGGAUGAAGGCCCUCGGGUUGUAAACUGCUUUUGUACGGAACGAAAAGCCUCUUUCUAAUAAAGAGGGGUGAUGACGGUACCGUAAGAAUAAGCACCGGCUAACUACGUGCCAGCAGCCGCGGUAAUACGUAGGGUGCGAGCGUUAAUCGGAAUUACUGGGCGUAAAGCGUGCGCAGGCGGUCUUGCAAGACAGUGGUGAAAUCCCCGGGCUCAACCUGGGAACUGCCAUUGUGACUGCAAGGCUGGAGUACGGCAGAGGGGGAUGGAAUUCCGCGUGUAGCAGUGAAAUGCGUAGAUAUGCGGAGGAACACCGAUGGCGAAGGCAGUCCCCUGGGCCUGUACUGACGCUCAUGCACGAAGCGUGGGGAGCAAACA